RNAcentral lists this ribosomal RNA (561 nucleotides) under Neotoma mexicana (Mexican woodrat). Its description in RNAcentral is "partial 16S ribosomal RNA". It matches the Rfam family "Bacterial large subunit ribosomal RNA", at positions 1814 to 2606 of the family's 2925-position model. Lineage: Eukaryota; Metazoa; Chordata; Mammalia; Rodentia; Cricetidae. The record is from RNAcentral.
CAUCACCUCUAGCAUAUCAAGUAUUAGAGGCACUGCCUGCCCAGUGACUAACGUUAAACGGCCGCGGUAUCCUGACCGUGCAAAGGUAGCAUAAUCACUUGUUCCUUAAUUAGGGACUGGAAUGAACGGCUUGACGAGGGUUUAACUGUCUCUUAUUUCUAAUCAGUGAAAUUGACCUCCCCGUGAAGAGGCGGGGAUAACAAAAUAAGACGAGAAGACCCUAUGGAGCUUUAAUUUACUAGUUUAAUUCCAACAAUAAACAACCUAUUGGCUCAACACACAAAAAUGUAAACUAGUAAUUUCGGUUGGGGUGACCUCGGAGCAUAAAAAAACCUCCGAAUGAUUUUAACUAAGACAUACAAGUCUAAGUAACCACAUAUCUUAUUGACCCAAAACUUUUUGAUCAACGGACCAAGUUACCCUAGGGAUAACAGCGCAAUCCUAUUCAAGAGUCCAUAUCGACAAUUAGGGUUUACGACCUCGAUGUUGGAUCAGGACAUCCCAAUGGUGCAGAAGCUAUUAAUGGUUCGUUUGUUCAACGAUUAAAGUCCUACGUGAUCA